AUGGAUUCAUUCGAACAAUCACACACUUUGCAAGAAUCCAAUCAUAAAAAAAACGCCGCAAAAUCGGCGACACCACCGCCGAUCAAAACUCCCCCACUCUCAUGCGGUGGAGAUCUGAAUCCGACCAGAACAACUACUCAAAAAAAAAUAAUCGAAGCUCUCAGCCGGAUCAACUCUCCAACAACCACCACCAAACCUAGAGCCGCUUCUCAAGUCCGCCACCCACCUUCUUCUAACUUCCGUCAACAUAACCCUCUAUUUCACUGGCUUCCCCUUUUGUUUUAUCAUUAG
Vicia faba (fava bean) is the source of this 291-nucleotide non-coding RNA. The record is from the annotation of a GenBank genome assembly. NCBI's taxonomy places the organism in Eukaryota, Viridiplantae, Streptophyta, Magnoliopsida, Fabales, Fabaceae.